GCAUCCCUGCGCUGUUGGUGUGAGCCUAGGUGUUUUGAGCCAACACCAUUUUUCGGGGAGUUCGAGGUCUCGGUGGUGCACACAUGCCGUGAGGAUUUUCCUUGUGGACGUUGUAAACUGCUGAGCAGGACACCCACCUGCGAGAGCAGGUUCAAAACGAAGGGUUCCACGGCAGGUGCGGGGAUGGU
This 188-nucleotide non-coding RNA is filed under the name Alicyclobacillaceae bacterium I2511. RNAcentral describes it as "6S / SsrS RNA". It matches the Rfam family "6S / SsrS RNA". Rfam says of the family: E. coli 6S RNA was the first non coding RNA to be sequenced, but its function was unknown until recently. It consists of 184 nucleotides that fold into an extended hairpin structure with a large single-stranded internal bulge. The record is from Rfam by way of RNAcentral. Lineage: Bacteria; Bacillati; Bacillota; Bacilli; Caryophanales; Alicyclobacillaceae.